RNAcentral lists this ribosomal RNA (301 nucleotides) under uncultured bacterium. RNAcentral describes it as "partial 16S ribosomal RNA". It matches the Rfam family "Bacterial small subunit ribosomal RNA", at positions 509 to 807 of the family's 1533-position model. The record is from RNAcentral.
CAGCAGCCGCGUUAAUACGUAGGGCGCAAGCGUUGUCCGGAAUUAUUGGGCGUAAAGAGCUCGUAGGCGGUCUGUCGCGUCUGGUGUGAAAUCCCGAGGCUCAACCUCGGGCUUGCAUCGGGUACGGGCAGACUAGAGUGCGGUAGGGGAGACUGGAAUUCCUGGUGUAGCGGUGGAAUGCGCAGAUAUCAGGAGGAACACCGAUGGCGAAGGCAGGUCUCUGGGCCGCAACUGACGCUGAGGAGCGAAAGCAUGGGGAGCGAACAGGAUUAGAUACCCCUGUAGUCCCUGUCUCUUAUAC